RNAcentral lists this ribosomal RNA (643 nucleotides) under uncultured bacterium. RNAcentral describes it as "bacterial SSU rRNA". It matches the Rfam family "Bacterial small subunit ribosomal RNA", at positions 232 to 885 of the family's 1533-position model. The record is from RNAcentral.
CGCGGCCUAUCAGCUUGUUGGUGAGGUAAUGGCUCACCAAGGCGUCGACGGGUAGCCGGCCUGAGAGGGUGACCGGCCACACUGGGACUGAGACACGGCCCAGACUCCUACGGGAGGCAGCAGUGGGGAAUAUUGCACAAUGGGCGAAAGCCUGAUGCAGCAACGCCGCGUGAGGGAUGACGGCCUUCGGGUUGUAAACCUCUUUUAGCAGGGAAGAAGCGAAAGUGACGGUACCUGCAGAAAAAGCGCCGGCUAACUACGUGCCAGCAGCCGCGGUAAUACGUAGGGCGCAAGCGUUAUCCGGAAUUAUUGGGCGUAAAGAGCUCGUAGGCGGUUUGUCGCGUCUGCUGUGAAAUCCCGAGGCUCAACCUCGGGCCUGCAGUGGGUACGGGCAGACUAGAGUGCGGUAGGGGAGAUUGGAAUUCCUGGUGUAGCGGUGGAAUGCGCAGAUAUCAGGGGGAACACCGAUGGCGAAGGCAGAUCUCUGGGCCGUAACUGACGCUGAGGAGCGAAAGGGUGGGGAGCAAACAGGCUUAGAUACCCUGGUAGUCCACCCCGUAAACGUUGGGAACUAGUUGUGGGGACCAUUCCACGGUUUCCGUGACGCAGCUAACGCAUUAAGUUCCCCGCCUGGGGAGUACGG